ACCUUACCUCUUGCCGCGUUGUCUCGGCGGGAGGCGGUGGGCGUCUCGCGCCCCUAGCGGGCCGUGCCGCUCCCGUCCCCGCCGGCGGCGCCAAACUCUAAAUUUACAGCGGACUGUACGUUCUGAUUUACAAAAAAAACAAGUUAAAACUUUCAACAACGGAUCUCUUGGUUCUGGCAUCGAUGAAGAACGCAGCGAAAUGCGAUAAGUAAUGUGAAUUGCAGAAUUCAGUGAACCAUCGAAUCUUUGAACGCACAUUGCGCCCGGCAGUAAUCUGCCGGGCAUGCCUGUCCGAGCGUCAUUUCUACCCUCGAGCGAGUCCAGCAUCUAGGUGCUGUGCCCGCCCGGCGUUGGAGCACUACGGGAAGCCCUGUGCUGUCCCCCGUAGGCCCCGAAAUGAAGUGGCGGUCCUGCCGCGGCGCCCCCUGCGUAGUAUAACAGCUCGCUUCGGGACCCGGUGGAGGCCUGCCGUCAAACCUAUAUUCU
Molecule: ribosomal RNA, 486 nt
Filed under: Cephalotrichum oligotriphicum
Lineage: Eukaryota; Fungi; Ascomycota; Sordariomycetes; Microascales; Microascaceae
Description: eukaryotic LSU rRNA
Rfam family: 5.8S ribosomal RNA (bases 148-301)
Source: RNAcentral